UCGGGUGUGGUGCACGGUGCACGGCGGCUACCAUUAAUAGAAUUUCAAGUGCGGGAAUGUUGCAAGCUGCAGACCGGGGUUCGGCUCCCCGCGCCCGAG
Molecule: non-coding RNA, 99 nt
Organism: Mycena rosella
Lineage: Eukaryota; Fungi; Basidiomycota; Agaricomycetes; Agaricales; Mycenaceae
Source: the annotation of a GenBank genome assembly